AUUGAACGCUGGCGGCAGGCCUAACACAUGCAAGUCGAGCGAGCGGCGGACGGGUGAGUAAUGUAUGGGGACUGCCCGAUAGAUGGGGAUAACUACUGGAAACGGUGGCUAAUACCGCAUACUAUCGGAUAACCCAUAUGGGAUUAGCUAGUAGGUGGGGUAAAGGCGCACCUAGGCGACGAUCUCUAGCGGGUCUGAGAGGAUGAUCAGCCACACUGGGACGGGGAAACGGCCCAGACCCCUACGGAGGCAGCAGUGGGGAAUAUUGCGCAAGGGGGGCAACCCUGACGCAGCCAUGCCGCGUGGAUGAGGAGGGCCUUCGGGUUGUAAAGUUCGUUCGGUAGCGAGGCGUUAACUACAGAAGAAGCACCGGCUAACUCCGUGCCAGCAGCCGCGGUAAUUC
Molecule: ribosomal RNA, 403 nt
Filed under: uncultured bacterium
Lineage: Bacteria
Description: partial 16S ribosomal RNA
Rfam family: Bacterial small subunit ribosomal RNA
Source: RNAcentral